UACGUAGGGUACGAGCGUUGUCCGGAAUUAUUGGGCGUAAAGAGCUCGUAGGUGGUUGGUCACGUCUGCUGUGGAAACGCAACGCUUAACGUUGCGCGUGCAGUGGGUACGGGCUGACUAGGGUGCAGUAGGGGAGUCUGGAAUUCCUGGUGUAGCGGUGAAAUGCGCAGAUAUCAGGAGGAACACCGGUGGCGAAGGCGGGACUCUGGACUGUAACUGACACUGAGGAGCGAAAGCAUGGGGAGCGAACAGG
This 253-nucleotide ribosomal RNA is filed under the name uncultured bacterium. RNAcentral describes it as "partial 16S ribosomal RNA". It matches the Rfam family "Bacterial small subunit ribosomal RNA", at positions 524 to 776 of the family's 1533-position model. The record is from RNAcentral.